UAAGACUCACAGCCCCACAAAGAGAUGGGCCCAUGUAGGAAAGUAUAGAGAAGCUCAAGAGAACACCAGCAUUUCAUCCUACCAUACAUCCCACAAUGGAUUCAUUUAAAUGUUGCAGACAGCGGCAUCUAUGAGUGGUGAUCCAAGCCUGGGGAUUCCGUGGAAAAGAAGAUGCAGGAGAUGGUAAGGAAAUGCAGAUGCCCCAGAGAAGGGGCCUGCUAAUAAGCUAUGCAGACUCUUGUGUAACACAGCUCUCCCGGGCACUUUUCUGCAGCUAAAAAAUAAAUUUAUAUUUUACAAUUA
Molecule: long non-coding RNA, 303 nt
Organism: Leopardus geoffroyi (Geoffroy's cat)
Lineage: Eukaryota; Metazoa; Chordata; Mammalia; Carnivora; Felidae
Exons: 2
Source: RefSeq, a predicted model, not a curated record